RNAcentral lists this ribosomal RNA (1887 nucleotides) under Triticum aestivum (bread wheat). RNAcentral describes it as "partial small subunit ribosomal RNA". The record is from RNAcentral. Lineage: Eukaryota; Viridiplantae; Streptophyta; Magnoliopsida; Poales; Poaceae.
AAAGAGGCUCUCUUCAUCCCCUGAAGGUCCCUACCUCGCCUCCUCCCAGCCCUCCCAACUCAUCUCCGCCGUCCAUAUACCCAUCUCCUCUCCGCGUGACCCAGAUGAGGAACCAUCGAUGAUGGCGUACGGGAAGCGCGCAUGGAGGGCGUUGCCGAGGCGGCGGCGCCGGCGACGGAAGCUACCUCUACCGACAACAGCACGAAUCAUCAAGGGCCGCGGUGCUGCCAUCCCAGUUGUCGGCGUCCUCUUGUGCGCCCCGGCCACAUAGGAGGACUGCCACAACUGUUGUGGAUCCUCAUCGUUCGUGUUGUGCAAGGACGGGGGUCGUCCUCGUUGUGCGAGGGUAGCACAUCGGGAGCUGCAACAACUAGGUUGCCGCACUCCUCGUCGACGCCCUUCUGAGCCUGUUGAACGCCGCGGUCAACGACUACGUGGGAAGAGCUGCGACAUGCUGCUUCACCUUCAAUGGCUUUUCGCGCCGGUCAAAAGACUGCAGGCAUGCAGAAUACAUCUCUGAAGGACCUAGCCAUGACUAUUACUGUGCAUGUGUGAACUCCUAUGAUAUGGGAAUUUGGAAGCCAGGAAACAUGGGCACUAUUUCAGCUGGAUUUUGUUGUAGUAGAUUGCCAUGUUAGGCUGAACAAAGGGCAAUAUAGUGUUUUGCCUUCUAUCAAAAGUUCACCAAGUUUGUUACUCUGGCAGAAAACUAUUAUGGAGGGGGACGUGUGGUGCAGAACCGAAUAGACAAAGAACAUGCUCAAAGAGGGCUCUAUCUAUCGAAUCUCAAUUUUUGAUGUUUAAGUGCCAAAAAGAUAUACAAAGCAGUGGAUUUUCCUACAAAGAUUUGCUUCACCCAGAGAACAUUGCCUAUGAAAAGGCCUCAACCAGACAAUUUUCCCAGAUUUGCCUACAGUAUGCAUCCUUUUACGGUGUUGGAGAAUAGAGCAAAAUAUACCUCUGUCAAGUAAAUGUGUUGACAAGUACUUAAAAUGUAGUGUACACAAGCAAAAAUAAAGGUCGAUGCGUACAUAUUUUUGGAAUCCAUAGAUAUCGUUGGUUUGAUAACAUUGGUUAGUGAGAUUCUACCCCUGGCAGGUACAAACAAGGGAGACAGAUUUAUAUCGGUGAUGGAAAGUACAAUUAUUUGGAAGCAUUGUCUAACAUAGGCAUAAUAAAGGUUAAAUGACUAUAAACUGGAUAAUUCCUGCAGCCAAUCUGCUGUUGGAAGAUUCGGUUGAGGCAUUAAAUGUUCAAGGCUUACGCUCGGCUUCUACCAACGAACCGACCAUUGUUGUGUUUGUUGGCAUGCUGGGUAUGCUAGCAGACAAGUAUACAUCAACUGCGGCAAGACUUUGAUGACGCGGAACCGUCAACAUGUUUGUCUGACCUCCUCGGCGAAGUCCGCUCCAUGAUCACCUCCCAGCGAGACCGAGCGCGCUUCACCGCCGUUUGGAGGGAAAAGGAGUUAAGAGAAAAAGAGAAGGCUCAGCACCUCUAUUUGCAUGUCAAAUCUGAAGUAGAGAGCUAUCUGAAGGAGAAGAGAGAGAAGGAUCCCUACAGGAGUACACUGACCGGUCUUCUAUAUCAGGCAGGAAAUGGUUCUGAUGCAGAAAUACCCACAUUUGAACCCGCAAGCUGAGAUGAUCAUUUUGUCAUUAGUUAAGAUCCAAACCAAUUGUUUAUAUUGUUCAUGUUAAAUCUUUUAUAUACAAUAGUUGUUUUUAUUAAUUUUACCUCAAAUUAAUUGCAGUUUAUUCAAAUUAGAAAAGUCAAUAAAUAUUAAAAACUAAGUUCAGAACUGUAAAUUUCUAUGUGAUGAACAUUCAAUGGAUUUACUAACCUAGGCAGGGGCUCUCAUUCCAAACGGUGACUGAGUGAAGGACC